RNAcentral lists this ribosomal RNA (253 nucleotides) under uncultured bacterium. Its description in RNAcentral is "partial 16S ribosomal RNA". It matches the Rfam family "Bacterial small subunit ribosomal RNA", at positions 524 to 776 of the family's 1533-position model. The record is from RNAcentral.
UACAGAGGUCUCAAGCGUUGUUCGGAUUCAUUGGGCGUAAAGGGUGCGUAGGUGGCAUGGUAAGUUGAAGGUGAAAUCUCGGAGCUCAACUCCGAAACUGCCUUCAAUACUGCUGUGCUUGAGGACUGUAGAGGAGAAUGGAAUUCACGGUGUAGCAGUGAAAUGCGUAGAUAUCGUGAGGAAGACCAGUGGCGAAGGCGAUUCUCUGGGCAGUUCCUGACACUGAGGCACGAAGGCUAGGGGAGCAAACGGG